UCCACGCAGUAAACGAUGAAUGUUAGUCGUCGGGUAGCUAGUCUAUUCGGUGAUGCAGCUAACGCAUUAAACAUUCCGCCUGGGGAGUACGGUCGCAAGAUUAAAACUCAAAGGAAUAGACGGGGACCCGCACAAGUGGUGGAGCAUGUGGUUUAAUUCGAAGAUACGCGAAGAACCUUACCUAGCCUUGACAUAUAUUAGAACAGACCAGAGAUGGACUGGUGCCUUCGGGG
RNAcentral lists this ribosomal RNA (233 nucleotides) under uncultured bacterium. RNAcentral describes it as "partial 16S ribosomal RNA". It matches the Rfam family "Bacterial small subunit ribosomal RNA", at positions 794 to 1025 of the family's 1533-position model. The record is from RNAcentral.